GACCUGAGCCGAAGUCGGAUGCUCAACCGACUGAGCCACCCAGGUGCCCCAUACAUUCCUUUUUAAUUUUUGCACUUACUCUUUGAGAUCUGGGUAUAUCUUACACUUUCGGCAUAUCUCAGUUGGGGCUCGCUACAGGUCAAGAGCUCCAUAGCUGCAUGUGGCUAGUGUUUGCCAAAUUCCAUGUGCAGUUGUGGGAUGUCUGAUGGGGUGGAGAAUGAUCUCAGACAGUGGGUGAGCAGACUCCGUGCUCUGGUGAUGAAGUGGUUGAGGCAGGGUCUCCCAAGUGGGCAAGAGGGUCAUUCAAGAUUCUGUCUGCACUUGUGCUGGGUCUGAUGAGAAAGGAUGGGAAGGAGACUGGGCAGAGCGGUAAUGGGUGAUGGAGAGCUGAAAAUGAGACCUGCAUGGGCUGUGACUCUGCCAUCACGUUGCCAUUGGAAACUGAUCUAAAUCAGCCGGGAAGAGAGGAAACUGAGAGAAUGUCUGAACCAAGGGAAGUCAAAAUACAUUCAGCACCACUUUUCUGAAGUAAUAACUAUGGAAUUUAAGUAUUCAUUAAAAUGAGCUCAAUGUGCCCCCAUAGGGACUGUUACCGGUUGUUGCACAAACCAGCGUGCUUGUCUGAAAUAAUAUGUAUCAGGCAGGGUGCUUAUCAUCACACGCAGGGUAAGCAUUGCCGUUGUUCUGGUUUUGCUGAUGGGGGGAGUGAGACUUAAGUAAAAGGAACAAAACAAUCAACUUCUUGCUGUAGAAAAUUAUCGCCGAGGGAACCCUGGAAACCACUGGGUACAGAAGUCUGCCUUCAGGGAGAGGAAAUCUGCUGGGGGCAGUGGGGCUCAAGUUGCUUAGAGGUGCAUGGGUAACCAGGGAGAGGUCCUCCAGUCUAGGUCCGCACAUCUGCCGGGAUAUCAACCUGUGAUUGCAGGAGCCCCAGGAUGGAUCCCCUGUCUCUCCAAAGAAUCUGCUGCAAAGCAGAAAUAAUGAUGAGGUUUUGUGUUUUGUGUUUUGUUUAUUUGUUUUAAGAGAUGUCAAGCCUUUAACUGUAUGGAGAGUGAAAGGCCUUCUUGCAGUGGUGAGUUGGCUGUGAGUGAUGUCAUGAGGAUCUGUCCCGUGUAAGCCUCAGGAUGUCUUCGAUGGAAGAACGGGAGGGAUGAUUGUUGCCUUAAUGAUUACAGCAGUGGCUGCCAAUUCACUAAUGGUUGGAACAUGUAAUUAGAACUUGAGAACUUAACUCUAGUCAUGACUAUGCCAAUUACCAUGGCUUUGAGCACGCUCUUCACCCUCUUGGGAGGGAGGUACCAUAUUUUGUGAUUAGGAGCUUGAGAUGUGGAGUCAGACUGCCUGGGUUCAAAUCCUAGCUCCACAACUUAUGAGCUAAAUGUUUUUGGGGGUUGGAUUGGAUGAUGGAUAAAAUCAUCAACUAAUUUGUUACACUGUACACCUUGGGGCCUGCGACAGUGCCUGGCACACAACAGCUACUCAACAUAUGCUUGUUGACUGAAUGGCUGAGGUUUUGCAUUUCACCGGAUGGGAAUUUUAUGAGAACCUGUUUUGGGACAUCUAUCAUGCAGACAUGUUACCUCAUGAAAUUAAAAAUCUCCAGAGUGUUAAGAUGAAUAAAUUAAGAACAUGAACGAUUUAUGGAGAACUAACUCUUGCAGUCAGAGUCCAAUCAGGGAAACGAAUGAGCUCACACCGUAGUUCAAUAGAGGCCACUGAACACAAGGAACAAAGGCGCGAGCAGAACUGGAAAGCCAUCGGGAUAGUGAGGCAGCUUGGAGAGCGGCCAGGAGGAGGAGAUGAUGCUACUGGAGCUUGAUGCUGAGGCAGCCCCCAAGCAGGAACUGAGAGCUGGGGUUGUGGAGGAACAGGUUGUCUAGUGGAACAAGCCAAUGCUUGUUCAGGUUGAAUGGAGAAUUCCCCAUUCUCAAUGCCUCCCAUUGGCUGGAUCCAUCCAGAAGCCAGCUGGCAGAGAAAGUUGGGAACUGAAUUUUGUAGAGGUGCUCGUGAGGCCUGUGAACGGAUGCGAAGGGAAGCAGGCCAGGUCCAGCACCCUAACCAGACUGUGGCCAGGCUGGCCCUCAGGUCAAAUCUACCAGCUGCCCGGUUUUGUAAAUAAAGUUUUAUUGGAACAAAGCCACACCCACUCAUUUACACAUUGCCUAUGGCUGUUUUGAUGCUACGUCUGCAGAGGUGAGUCCUUGUGAAAAAGACCAUAUGACCUUUUACAAAAAGUUGCUUAUCCUGGUGCUAGACUGUGUCUAACCCGUACAACCACUGGCCUGGUAAGUAUUUCUACCCUUCUUUUGCAAAUGGGGAAACAGGCUUGUGAAACAGACCUGACUUGCCUGAGGCUGAGUGCACCAGGCCUGAAUGAAACUUGCAUUUGACCUCCAUCUAGUUGUUACCAAAUUCCAAUACCUUCACUGCACCCCCAGGUCCCUCAGGCCCCACUGGGCCACCUCAGCUCCUGGUCUUCUGCUGAAACAAAAUGGCACCUUGGGUUGGUAUCUCUCCAUGGCACGUCUCUGCCUGUUGUUGCCUCACCAACAAGUUCAUGGUAGCUGAGGGGUCAGGGAUCGUCUGAGCUGGAAUGGACCAGGACUUCACAGGAGAGAAUUCAAAUGUCUGGGGCUUGAAGCUCUCUGUUUGUCUGAUUGUCCUUUCCAGGGAGGCAGCUGGCCCUUAAGAAGCUCUUCCCCCUGCCUCAUAGUCUGCACAGUCAUCACAACUAAGCAAGAAGACCAGAAGAUUUGGGAGAACAUCUCUGACAUAAAGGAAAUCAAUGUUAAAAUGAUAUUUGCUUUAUAAAAUGUACAGUAUAGCCAACUCCUUUUAGGAAUGCUUCUCCUGUGAAGCUAAGUAUACCUGUCUGAUGAAAAAACAAAAAUCUCAAAACGAAAUAUGAUUGCCAACUUUCUCCACAUCGCUGGGGGAUUCCUCUUAAGUAAUAGCAUUUAUGAGUCUAGCUGGGUGGCCUUGGUGCACAUGACAACAGCAGGACAAAAUCUCCCGAAACACGGGACAAUUUAUGUUUGCGGAGAAUUCCAAGUGAUUGUGAGGUAGCCGCUGCUUGCAUUUGCUUUGCUUGCACAGAUGAUGAGAAAUUGCAUCUCUGGGAAGAACUUAAAGGGGCGAACUGAAUGCAUGUGAGAUUAAAGAAAUCAAGAUUUGCAUGUGAUGACACACAAAAAGGGCAGAGCCGUGGCCGUGGCAUUAUUUGGCUUAGCAUUUAGCCAACACGGAUAUUUUUAUAAUGUAUUAAGCGCGCUUUCCUGCCUCCAUGAAAAUGAUACUCCUGACAACUCCUCAUAUGGCCACUGACACCAGUUGUGCUUUUAAAGCCAUGACGAAGCUCAGGUGACCACCUGAACCCUUCACUCUCUCCUCUGACUAUCAGACGUUUGGAAUGACUUAGCCUGUUUCCUCGAGCUGGCACAGGGCUGCGGCCAGAGGAGGCAUUGAGCUGCCUCCAUCAUCCCUGGUGCAGGCAGCAGGCAGCAGGCACUUGCUUCUGAGUGGCUCUGGGGCUCAAGAAUCUAUUUCCAUCUUGGGGAUCCUGGGUAAAUUUGUAACCCCUUGGAUCCAGAAGUUCACUACCAUUUAAUGGGAGGCAAUAUGAUUGCGUGAGGAAAGCUGGGGCUCCAGAGGUGAAAACACCCAGAUUUAAAUCCUCUAUUUAUUAGCUCAUCCUCUCAUGAAUCUGAUCCUCUCUCUAAGCCUGAGAGGCAGCUGAAGAUGUCUCUGUGGUAGGCUGUAUAGCGGUCCCCAAAGAUACCCAGGUCCUAAUCCUUGGAAUCCUGGGAUGUUACCUUAUAUGGAAAGAGGAUCUAUGCAGAUAUGAUGAAGUUAAGGAUCUAGAGAUGGGGAGAUUAUCCUGGAUUAUCUGGGUGGGCCCUAAAUGCCAUCACAAGUGUCCUUAUAAGAAGCAGGCAGAGGGAUUUCUGAUGCACAAGAGGAAGAAGGCAGUGUCACAAGGAUGGAAGCCGAGGGAGAUUUGAAGAUGCUACACUACUGGCUGUGGAGAUAGAGGAAGGGACCACAAGCCAAGGACGGCAAGGAGUCUCGGCAGCCUCUAGAAGUUAGAGAAGACAGAGAAGCCGAUUUUCUCCUAGAGCCUCCGGAAGGAGCAUAGCCCUGCUGACACCAUUCUCUUCAGCCCAGUGAAACUGAUUUUGGACUUCUGGCCUCCAGAACUAUAAGACAAAAAAUGUGUGCUGUUUUAAGCUGCCAUGUUUGUGGUAUUUGUUACAGCAGCCACGGGAUGCUAAUAGAGCCUCCUGCCGUUGUUGUGGUAUGUAAGAGUCAUGCUCGAGAAAGAUACUAAAUCAAGUCAGGAAAUCAUGCCCAAAGCAAGGGGGAGGGAUCUGAGGUAAGUUAGGAGUAUCUGAGGUGACUCUGGGGACAAGUGCAGUAACUGUGAUAAACCCUUUUGCUCUUCAAGCUUAGACUACAAUAUAAGAAUCUAUCCCUGGCAGUGACACUUAGGUCUCUGGCAUGGAUCUGGCCCACUGUCCCCUAUGCCCUGGACCCUUGCUGUUCUUCUUUGGCCAUCCUGAUAUCCCAUCCUGCCUACCUGAUAAGCCAUGUCACUCACAUCAACCUGUAGCUCAGAUUCCGGGAUGGUGGUGAGGGCAUGGCUUCUGAAUCCCACGUCCCUGAUCACAAACUGACUACUCAGUCUGCCAUUUCCCUGCUGUGGAGUGUAGAUUAGAGUUUGUGGGUGGGAGAUGGCUGAAUAACUUUCAGUGGGGAGACCCACCAGGAGAAAUGAGAACCCAGGGGAAGGAAGAAGCUGUAAUGGAGGAAAAGGCUCCAUGGUCAACCCAUUUGACCUCAAGUUCGGGCUAUUGCCUUUGAGCUAAAGAGAGCUGCUGCUGUCCUCCUCACCCAAGGGCUUCAAAGCUGUUUCCACAGAACCCAAUGGAUCCUUGUUUGGGACAAUAGCUCCCCUGCAAGUUGGCAGGUGAGAGGCCUCAUGGUGAUUUAGAUUCCCAUAUGGGUGGUCUAGACAGAUGGCCAAUGCUAAGACUGACUCAGAGAGUUCUUGGGGGAAUUGGAGGAAGGUAACACACCCACACACACACACACACACACACCCCUCAGGACUGCUUACUGUAUGAACUUCAGUAUCCCUAGGAACAGAAUACUAGAGAAUCAUCAGUGUGGUUAAAAACAAUGGCCACCACCAAAGCAGCAAUAAUCAUAAGAAAAGGGUUCAUUUUUCUGCCUUCCAAGAAAUGUGGGAGUAAAGAACUUUCUGGUCAUCUGUGUGCAUGGGGAGAUAAGGAGCAGCCCUGGAGAGAAGGUAGCCCAAAGUCAG
This is a long non-coding RNA of Leopardus geoffroyi (Geoffroy's cat), 5323 nucleotides long. RefSeq lists it as uncharacterized. The transcript is spliced from 3 exons. The record is from RefSeq and is a predicted model, not a curated record. NCBI's taxonomy places the organism in Eukaryota, Metazoa, Chordata, Mammalia, Carnivora, Felidae.